GCACAAGCGGUGGAGCAUGUGGUUAAUUCGAAGCAACGCGAAGAACCUUACCAGGUCUUGACAUCCCGAUGCUAUUUCUAGAGAUAGAAAGUUACUUCGGUACAUCGGUGACAGGUGGUGCAUGGUUGUCGUCAGCUCGUGUCGUGAGAUGUUGGGUUAAGUCCCGCAACGAGCGCAACCCCUAUUGUUAGUUGCCAUCAUUCAGUUGGGCACUCUAGCGAGACUGCCGGUAAUAAACCGGAGGAAGGUGGGGAUGACGUCAAAUCAUCAUGCCCCUUAUGACCUGGGCUACACACGUGCUACAAUGGUUGGUACAACGAGUUGCGAGUCGGUGACGGCGAGCUAAUCUCUUAAAGCCAAUCUCAGUUCGGAUCGGAGGCUGCAACCCGCCUCCGUGAAGUCGGAGUUGCUAGUAAUCGCGGAUCAGCAUGCCGCGGUCGAAUACGUUCCCGGGCCUU
This 458-nucleotide ribosomal RNA is filed under the name uncultured Streptococcus sp. RNAcentral's name for it is "bacterial SSU rRNA". It matches the Rfam family "Bacterial small subunit ribosomal RNA", at positions 923 to 1382 of the family's 1533-position model. Lineage: Bacteria; Bacillati; Bacillota; Bacilli; Lactobacillales; Streptococcaceae. The record is from RNAcentral.